Molecule: long non-coding RNA, 513 nt
Filed under: Sus scrofa (pig)
Lineage: Eukaryota; Metazoa; Chordata; Mammalia; Artiodactyla; Suidae
Description: lncRNA (ENSSSCG00055013092.1)
Source: RNAcentral
AUGACUGCCAGCACUGUGAGCAGCAGGGCUGUCUCCAGCCGUCGACAGGACCAAACAGUAUCUCGGAAGCAUCAGCGAACACGUGUGGACAGAAGGUGCAGCACCCCCGUGAACCGGCCUCGCCCCACCACGGCCUCUCCUUCCAGCAGUCCCUCGGCUCCCCCCAGCCCUGCUCCACGGUGCCCGCCCCCAGCCCAAGGUGCUCACGACUGCCCACAAGAACCCAAACUCAGCCAUCGGAAGGCUGGGCCGCGGGGCUCCGGAGCCUCCAGAGAUGACUCUGCCCCACAGGAUGCCGGCUUCAUCUUCCACAGCCCGCAGGCAGUUCCAGGCACCCCUUCUUGCUGGCAAAAUGGGAGUUCACAGGCCAGAGGAGCCAUCAGUCCUAACACAGCACAAAGAAGGAAACACGACCAUGAGAGAACGGAGAAGGGCCACCCUAGGCAGCCAGCCAAAGGGGCAAGAGGUAAAAAGAGUGGAAGUGGCGCGCCGUCGAGAUUCCCCAAAAGGUGA